RNAcentral lists this non-coding RNA (591 nucleotides) under unclassified sequences. RNAcentral's name for it is "ROOL RNA". It matches the Rfam family "ROOL RNA". Rfam says of the family: Firmicutes, Fusobacteria (1 example), Tenericutes (1 example). The record is from Rfam by way of RNAcentral.
AUCCGACCGUGGUUUUAGGCAAAUCCUAUCUGUAAGGGCUUUGACAAGUCUAGAUAGGUGUUUAACCUUUAAAUACCGAUAAGCCGUCCGUGUCCGAUAUGGGUACGGAUUGUGAUGACGACUAGAAAGUCAGCAAGUGGAAGCACUUGUGCGUAGGUUAAGCAGCCUCAUAUACAUGAAAGACUGAUGUAGAGUUCGGUUGGAGCGACAAGUACCUAGCUUGAGAUAGUUAGGUCGCCUUGGUAUGACUAGUGUGAGAAGCUAGGAACCGUAGAGGUAUCUCAAAAACAAGCUUUUGCAGUGACGUCCUCGUAAGUGGACUAUAACAACAGAACUCGUAUUAGUAGCCUAAUUCUGCAAUCCCUUGGUUGGGAAGUGUUGUCCAUAUAGUUCAAGAUGGAGACAUGAAUACAAGAUUAUAUUACUCUUGUUAGGUGAACGUUGGUGGUCGUCGAGCCAGCCCCUCCUUUGUAAAGGACUCUAUGUAGUAGGAAGUCGAGAGCCUAUGAGAGUUAGAGUCGGAGAGAAACAUCUAUUGUCUGCAGUGUAUGUGUGGUAGAGCUAAAAACUCUUGCCUAUUUUAUAAGUUCC